GGGUCAGUAGGUUGGUCGUGCCACCGGUACGUACUGGUCUCACUGAUUCCUCCUUCCUGAAGAACCGUAAUGCCAUUAAUUUGGGGGUGCGGGGAAACAGGACAGUUACUUUGAAAAAAUUAGCGUGUUUAAAGCAAGCUAACGCUUGAAUACAUUAGCAUGGAAUAAUGAAAUAGGACGAUCGAUCCUAUUUUGUUGGUUUCUAGGAUUGACGUA
This 216-nucleotide ribosomal RNA is filed under the name Glomeromycotina sp. RNAcentral's name for it is "partial small subunit ribosomal RNA". The stretch from base 40 to 216 matches the Rfam family "Eukaryotic small subunit ribosomal RNA", at positions 686 to 864 of the family's 1831-position model. Lineage: Eukaryota; Fungi; Glomeromycota. The record is from RNAcentral.